GUUUCUUUGAAGCAAAGAUGUAUAGAAUAGCACUGAAAGUCGGAGGUGUCAUAUUUGUUCAACCUGGUGUUAAACGUAAUUUCAAUUCUUGACCAGUGCAUGUAAAGAAAUUGAAAAUAAAACCAACUUGACUUGACUUGUCAUUGGGUCUGAUUUUAAAUGUGCCAUAUAGUUCAAUGUGGGAGCAGGUUCACACACUAAAUAAGACACUAAGGUCAAGCACAAGCAGAUUUUUUUUUUUUAACAAUUCUCAGAGCAGAUUAGAGCAGACGUUUCAGGUUGCUGCCAUCAGAGAGUAGUGACUUGACCUUAGUGUCUUUAGUGUGCUCCCACAUUGAACUCUACUUUUUGGGUCCAUGCACCUACUUAUUUCUAAACAUCUAGAGCGCAACAAUACCCCUGCCUCCUGAUGUGCCAUAUAACCUGUAUCUCUCCAAGUGUGUGUGUGUGUGUGUGUGUGUGUGUGUGUGUGUGUGUGUGUGUGUGAGAGAGAGAGAAUGUGUGCAUGCAGAUAUAAGAAGUUGGGGUUGAUGAUCCACAUGAUGGUGAUGGACCAGGACAGCUCUGGACCUCCUGACUGGCAGCUCCAUCCUCAACCUCUCUUCCUGCCCUUCACACAUGUGCAGGCAGCCAGUUUUCUGAAAGAUGGUUGAUGUCAGUACCAACAUGUUGUGAUGGAGGCUUCCACCUGAGCUGAACACAGAAACUUGCACACAGUGAUGGAAGCAGUCGUUCCUGUUCAGCAUCGAUAUGCCAGUAAUGGGUUUGAUGAGCCACAGCAUGGGUAUGGGCAAUCAGCAUCAGGACCAGGGCAGCUCACAAGGAGAACCUCCUGCCCUGCCUCGUCAUCCUCACCCUCCCAUCUCCCUGCUCUUCACACAUGUGCAGGUGAGGCCAACCUCUAAAAUGCACACUUGACUUGAGGCAAAGGGGGGAGAAUAGGCCUGCGUGCCUGCGUGCGUGCGUGCCUGC
Molecule: long non-coding RNA, 972 nt
Organism: Engraulis encrasicolus (European anchovy)
Lineage: Eukaryota; Metazoa; Chordata; Actinopteri; Clupeiformes; Engraulidae
Exons: 3
Source: RefSeq, a predicted model, not a curated record